AUGGCUGGGCACAGAGGAGGGCUGAUCCUGCCCCUGCUGCUGCUGCUGAGCCUCGCCGUGCCCGAGCUGGUGCUGGGGACCACAGCCACAAAGGCUUCGGUGACCUCAGCUCCCUCCACCUCCCUGACACCCGUGGAGACCCCGACGCUGCUGCCCACCACCGACACAGCCUCGGUGCCUCCCUCCAGCCCAGAAACGGGAGCCUCCACCCCAGAGACACCCAGCGUGCCGACGGCUGCCUCCACGAGCAGCACCCUGGCAGCCCCCAGCAGCCCCCCGUUGGAGGUGAGUGGCAGCGUGGGCUCUCCCGCCAGCACCACGCUGCACCCUAAUGCCACCAGCACCGCUGCCACCAUGUCCCCAAGCCCGACCUCCGCAGCCACGCCACCCACCCAGCCUGAGGUGACAACAGGCACAUCGCUGGGGACCAGCGUGUCCCCAGCUCCGAGCACCAGCUCGGCAGGAGCUGCACCAAGCACGCCCCCCACCCUCCCCUCCACCUCUCUCCCCUCCACCUCGGUGGUCACCACGAGCACCAGCAAAGGACCAGCGGCGACCACAGCGCUCAGCACCACCCCCCCGGGGAGCAGCAGUCCUGAUCCCAUCACACCAACCGAGCCCAACACAACCCCGCCGGACCCCACAACACCUCCAGACCCCACAACGCCUCUGGACACCGCAACCCCCUCCCGCCCCAGCACCGGGGGCCCUGGGAGCAAUUCAACCCCCAGCCAGCCCCCAGGGACCACCAACGGGACCGCGGGGACACCCCCGGACACCCCCCAGAGCCCCGCUGCUAGCACCGCAGGCUGCAGCAGCUCAGGGAGGAGGUGGCUGCUUGACCUGAAUGCUACAACGAUCUCAGCUCUCUCUGCCUCCCUGAAAUCCACAGAGACCACGGCGCUGCCGCCCACCGCCGCCUCCACCGGCACAGCCUCCAGCCCUGAAAAAGGAUCCUCCACUCCCGAGACACCCAGCACACCCCCGGGGAGCAGCCGUCCCUCUCCUCCCACCACAGCCCCACACACGGGUACAUCAGCCGAGCCCCCGACAUCCCCUCUGGACACCACAGCCCCGCACCCCACCAGCUCUGGGGUGCCCGGGAGCACCCCAAAUCCCAGCCAGACACUGGGGACCACAAACGGGACCAGCCCUGGUGCCUCCACCCUGACCACGGGGACAGCCCCGGACACCCAGGCGUCACCCCCCAGCCCCGGUGCCACCACGGGCACCUCCCCUGCCACCAACUCAACCCAGAGCCCAAACAACAUCUCCAGCACCUCCACGGCCCAGCCGACGGCAGAGCCCACCUGCCCCGGCAUCAUGAGCCCAGGCGCGGAGUCCCACAUCUUCCUGUCCGUGCGCCUGGCCGGCCCCCUGGACCCUGAGAACAAAACCAUGCAGGACCUGAUCCUGUCCGAGCUCCGCCACAGGCUGCAGGUCAAGUUCCCGCAGGCUGACUUCACCAUGCGGUGGAGUGGGAAGAAACCCUGAGCGCUGCCCCACGCUGCAGCCCCCCAGCCGCCCGUGGCACCGAGGAAGACGAGGAAGGAGCCCCUGCAGCCCGCUGUCAGCCCCUGUGUGCUCCGAAAUCAGCAGAUUUCAGGACCUGACCGGCUGCGGGGGCACAGCCGGUGGGUCCCACGUCACUGCUGUGCUCCCCCCCCGGCUGCGUGCGCCGUGGGGCUGUGGAAAUCCCGUGGGUUGAAAUCCUGCCCUGUUUUUUUUUCUUUUCUUUUUUUUUUUUUCCCCAGUCUCUGGUUAAGGAGACGGCCGCGGCGUCGAUCCCCCUGCAGCGAAGUCAUUUAUUAACUGAUUAAUUAGGCAGAUAAAAUCAGGCCGAAGCAGUUAUUACCCUAAGCAAGUCACCUCGUGGAGAGAUUAAAAAGUGAAAUAAUCACCCAAAUGGCUGUGUUGUUCCUGCGGGGGGAGGGAUUUUUGGCUGAGCCCUUCCUGCAGCCCCUGUCCCACCGAGGGAAGGGGCGUUUGGGGCUGCAGACACCAAACCUGGGGACUGCUCCCAGGCAGCUGAGCUGUCACCCAGCAGCCAGGAGGGACACGAAGCCACCUCGAAGCCACCCAGCUCAUAGGGUCUGGGCAAUGGGGGAGGCUCAGUGGGGUCUGGAGCCCCGAGAGCUCACCAGGGUGCUGCGAUUUGGGCAGGAUCUGUCCCCAACCCGCUGCUGGCUCCUCUCAUUUUGCUCUGUGCGAGUCGCAGGCCGGGCUGGGACAGGGAGGGGGCACAAAUGGGGACAUAAAAACACAUCCCCCUGCGGUCAUACGGUGACCCUGCUGAUGGUGACCCCAAUUCUGGGAGAGAGAGGAUGGGGACUGCCUGGCCCUGAGGCUCUGGGCUGUGUCACCUGCUGCUGGCCACCAACCUGGAGGUUCUCCUCCUCCAGGACCUGCACACGUUUCCCAAAGGGAAAAGCAGCCUGCAGGAGCACACCCCAAUUCCCCAGGGAGCUGUUUCCUGGCUUUUUGGGGGCUUUUUUUUUUUUUUGAGCCCUUAGCACAGCGCUGCUCCUGCUGCAGCGGGGUGCAGAGCAAGGGGAACCCGGGCAGAGCCUGCUGGAUGGGGUCCCCGCUCCCCACGCCUUGUAGGGCACGGGGGAAAUCAUCCUCGUGCUCUGCCCACGCCGUGGCACCGGGCCAGGAGCCCUCCCACGCCGAGUCCCACCGGGCUGAUCCUGCCGGCUGUUGAAUCCAUAACUUCAGACCCCGGGACGUGGCGCGGGGCCAAGGCCGGCAGACGGCAGCCAAAGUGCGUCACAAAGGGAGGAAAAAGGUCCCCAAGUGCUGGGAUGAAAAGGUGACCGGGGCACUUACCAUCCCCGUCCGGCACAGCUGCCUUCGUGGCAGGGGGAGGAGAUGCUCCGGGGGUGGCCGAGCCCCCCCUGCCCUCAGCCUGGGACGGAGCAGAGGGGACCUGGUUGUGAUGGGGGUGCUGUGAUCCCAAAAUGGGGACACGGAGCUGUGACAGGCUCCCAGCCCUGCCCAGCACGGCUGAAUGCUUGCUGGGCUCUGGGUGCAGCCCUCCCAGAGCCCCCGCUCGCAGCUGGGGGAAGGUGAUGGGAGCCAGCUGUGCCUGGAGCACCAGUCCUGUGGUUCCCAGUUUGAAUUUUUCCCACCUUCCACUUCCCAACAUAGACAUCUUUAGGGGUUUCUCCUCCGUGCUGUGGAGCCUCCCCACCAGGACGGGGUUUUGCCACCAUCACCUCGCUGGGAUGAGCUGAGUAGAUGAGACAGGGACGUUGCUCGCAGUGAGGGGCUCUUCCAGCCCUCAAACCAUCCCUCACCCUCCUGCUGUAACCUAUUUCCCUCCAUCAGCAUCACCCCUGG
RNAcentral lists this long non-coding RNA (3342 nucleotides) under Anas zonorhyncha (Eastern spot-billed duck). RNAcentral's name for it is "lncRNA (ENSAZOG00000016211.1)". Lineage: Eukaryota; Metazoa; Chordata; Aves; Anseriformes; Anatidae. The record is from RNAcentral.